Long non-coding RNA from Neodiprion virginianus, 175 nucleotides. RefSeq lists it as uncharacterized. Lineage: Eukaryota; Metazoa; Arthropoda; Insecta; Hymenoptera; Diprionidae. The transcript has 3 exons. The record is from RefSeq and is a predicted model, not a curated record.
CAGACGUGUUCUCUUCCUCUCCUGUUAAAGUCCCGAGACAGACUGUUUUCAUAAGAAUGUUGGUUGACGCAGCAACCUUAUUCUUUUGAAAGACAUAAGAGGUUUAUAAACGUCUUUUAUCUAUGAUGACUACUAGAUCAUUAAAAAGGGGACAAAACGGGUGAUUUCACCCUUU